This 68-nucleotide transfer RNA is filed under the name Marmota monax (woodchuck). RNAcentral describes it as "tRNA.Ala". Lineage: Eukaryota; Metazoa; Chordata; Mammalia; Rodentia; Sciuridae. The record is from RNAcentral.
GGUGUGUAGCUCAGGGGUAGAGCACAUACCUAGCAUGCUUCAGGCCUUGGGUUCUAUCCCCAGCACCA